GUGCCUGCUUCAGCAGCACAUACAUUAAAACUAGAAUGAUACAGAGAAGAUGAUCAUGAUCCCUGUCCAGAGACCAAAUGCAUGUUCUCGAAGUGUUCUGUAUUUUG
This is a small nuclear RNA of Lynx canadensis (Canada lynx), 107 nucleotides long. The record is from Ensembl. Lineage: Eukaryota; Metazoa; Chordata; Mammalia; Carnivora; Felidae.